AGCGAACGCUGGCGGCAGGCCUAACACAUGCAAGUCGAACGAACUCUUCGGAGUUAGUGGCGGAUGGGUGAGUAACACGUGGGAACGUGCCUUUUGGUUCGGAAUAACUCAGGGAAACUUGUGCUAAUACCGAAUGUGCCCUUCGGGGGAAAGAUUUAUCGCCAUUAGAGCGGCCCGCGUCUGAUUAGCUAGUUGGUGAGGUAACGGCUCACCAAGGCGACGAUCAGUAGCUGGUCUGAGAGGAUGACCAGCCACACUGGGACUGAGACACGGCCCAGACUCCUACGGGAGGCAGCAGUGGGGGAUCUUGCGCAAUGGGCGAAAGCCUGACGCAGCCAUGCCGCGUGAAUGAUGAAGGUCUUAGGAUUGUAAAAUUCUUUCACCGGGGACGAUAAUGACGGUACCCGGAGAAGAAGCCCCGGCUAACUUCGUG
Molecule: ribosomal RNA, 433 nt
Filed under: uncultured bacterium
Lineage: Bacteria
Description: partial 16S ribosomal RNA
Rfam family: Bacterial small subunit ribosomal RNA
Source: RNAcentral